Molecule: ribosomal RNA, 437 nt
Filed under: uncultured bacterium
Lineage: Bacteria
Description: partial 16S ribosomal RNA
Rfam family: Bacterial small subunit ribosomal RNA
Source: RNAcentral
GAUGAACGCUGGCGGCGUGCUUAACACAUGCAAGUCGGACGGGAAGUGGUGGUUCUUGUGGCGGUCGGGUGAGCAACGCGCGGGAGACUGACCUGGGGAGAGGAACCACAACUGGAAGGGGUUGCUAAUAGAAAGUAGGGCGAAGAGCAAAAGACGGAAUCCUCCAGAGGGGGGGCUUGCGUAUGAUGGGCUAGCUGGUGAGGUAAUAGCUGACCAAGGCGAUGAUCAGUAGCCGGUCCGAGAGGAUCAUCAGCCACACUGCGACUGAGCCACGGCCCAGGCUCCUUCGGGAGGCAGCGGUGGGGAAUUCGCCGCAAUGCGCGAAAGCCUGACGGGGCCAUGCCGCGGGGAGGUAGAAGGCUCACGGGUCGUGAACUUCUUUUCUCGCAGAAGACACAAUGACGGUAUCUGAUGAAUAAGCAUCGGCUAACUCCGUG